AUUGAACGCUGGCGGCAGGCCUAACACAUGCAAGUCGAGCGGAUGAAGGGAGCUUGCUCCUGGAUUCAGCGGCGGACGGGUGAGUAAUGCCUAGGAAUCUGCCUGGUAGUGGGGGAUAACGUCCGGAAACGGGCGCUAAUACCGCAUACGUCCUGAGGGAGAAAGUGGGGGAUCUUCGGACCUCACGCUAUCAGAUGAGCCUAGGUCGGAUUAGCUAGUUGGUGGGGUAAAGGCCUACCAAGGCGACGAUCCGUAACUGGUCUGAGAGGAUGAUCAGUCACACUGGAACUGAGACACGGUCCAGACUCCUACGGGAGGCAGCAGUGGGGAAUAUUGGACAAUGGGCGAAAGCCUGAUCCAGCCAUGCCGCGUGUGUGAAGAAGGUCUUCGGAUUGUAAAGCACGUUAAGUUGGGAGGAAGGGCAGUAAGUUAAUACCUUGCUGUUUUGACGUGAACAACAGAAUAAGCACCGGCUAACUUCGUGC
Molecule: ribosomal RNA, 485 nt
Filed under: uncultured bacterium
Lineage: Bacteria
Description: partial 16S ribosomal RNA
Rfam family: Bacterial small subunit ribosomal RNA
Source: RNAcentral